Molecule: long non-coding RNA, 1389 nt
Filed under: Canis lupus familiaris (dog)
Lineage: Eukaryota; Metazoa; Chordata; Mammalia; Carnivora; Canidae
Description: lncRNA (ENSCAFG00030018433.1)
Source: RNAcentral
UGUUUCUAGGCACUGUUUGCCUCAUUUGGGGGCUCCUGGGGUCCAGCUCACGAUGGGGAACCAAACCCAAGCUGUUGCUUUGGGGCAGGAUGUGCGGAUGUUACUGCAUCUGGGGGCCAAAGUGCUUUAAACAUCGACCCCACCAACAAUAAGGAUGAUGAAAAUAAUAAUAAUGUGGGGCAGCUGAUAUUUCUUGGGCACCAAGUAUGUGUCAGGUACUGUGUAUUUAAUCCCCAUUAUCUUACUUAAUCUUCAGAGCAGACCCUAUAAGGUAAGUGCUAUUAUUAUUCCCCUUUGGCAGAGGGAGAACCCGAAGCUCAGAGAGGUUAAUUGACUUGCCUAAGGUGACAGAGCUGGAAGGGGACGGAGGCAGGACUCAGCUUAAGUUCUGAUUUCAAAGCCUUGGACUUAAUUGCUCCUCUCUGUUAUUACGGAACCGUGCAGCUAACUUGCUGCAAAGCACAUUCGUAGGCUGAGAAAUACCCUUUAAAAUACUUUUACAAAAAUAAACAAAUAAAAUACUUUUACAGUUUUGCAACGAGUGAAUAUUUGGCUCUGCUGCUUCUCUCUCCCUCUUUUCAAAACGGACUGAAAACAGGGAAUCCCUGGGUGGCUCAGAGGUUGAGCGUCUGCCUUCAGCCCAGGGAGUGAUCCCGGGUCCGAGAUCAAGUCCCGCAUCGGGCUCCCUGCAUGAAGCCUGCAUCUCCCUUUGCCUGCAUCUCCCUUUGCCUGUGUCUCUGCCUCUCUCUCUGUGUCUUUCAUAAAUAAAUAAAAUCUGAAAAAAAAAAAAAAAAAAACCCAGACUGAAAAACAGAAACCAAAACACUCUGUCACUUUCCAGUGGGUCAGCGAGAUCAGAGGAAGAAACCUCCGCGUUCCACUGCUGGCUUAUGUAAAGGUGAGGUUACCUUAGAAUUAUUUGCCUUAAAGAAAAAGAUCCAUCAAUGUAACUAAUAUUCGGUGCACUUACUGAGAAGCCAUCUGGAGCGGCUUCCUUUUGCCCCUGUACCCUCUCCCCAUGCUCCAGAGUCCAGCUGGAGCCAGCCAGGUCUGUCCUCCCUUGGUGCCCCUGGGUCCUUGCCUUUCACCUCCCAUGAGGGUGCAGAGGGCCACCUAGGGAGAAAGCUCUGCACAGGCCAGUCGGCAAAGUUGGCCCAGAGCCAUGGAGAGUGAGAAACUUUCAAAUUUCAAAACUGCCCUGGGCCAAUUUAAUAAAUUUCUGCCACUUCCGUUCUCUCCACAUUUUUGAAUUCUCAAAAAUUCACUCCCAUCUAAGAUGCGUACAGAGUGGAAGGAUUUGGGAAUGUUAAUAAUGCAGAGUUCUACAGCACAGCAAGGUGAAUUCUCAAGGAGUAGCAGUUACCGUCUGCUUUCUCCCUGCCAGGUAAC